This 105-nucleotide ribosomal RNA is filed under the name Gloeodontia columbiensis. RNAcentral's name for it is "partial 5.8S ribosomal RNA". It matches the Rfam family "5.8S ribosomal RNA", at positions 52 to 154 of the family's 154-position model. From Rfam's summary of the family: 5.8S ribosomal RNA (5.8S rRNA) is a component of the large subunit of the eukaryotic ribosome. The record is from RNAcentral. Lineage: Eukaryota; Fungi; Basidiomycota; Agaricomycetes; Russulales.
AAUGCGAUAAGUAAUGUGAAUUGCAGAAUUCAGUGAAUCAUCGAAUCUUUGAACGCACCUUGCGCCCUUUGGUAUUCUGAAGGGCACGCCUGUUUGAGUGUCGUG